ACUCCUACGGGAGGCAGCAGUGGGGAAUAUUGCACAAUGGGGGAAACCCUGAUGCAGCAACGCCGCGUGAGUGAUGACGGCCUUCGGGUUGUAAAACUCUGUCUUUGGGGACGAUAAUGACGGUACCCAAGGAGGAAGCCACGGCUAACUCCGUGCCAGCAGCCGCGGUAAUACGGAGGGUGCGAGCGUUAAUCGGAAUUACUGGGCGUAAAGCGCAUGUAGGCGGCUUUUUAAGUCUGAUGUGAAAGCCAGUGGCUCAACCACAGAAUUGCAUUGGAUACUGGAAAGCUAGAAUCUUGGAGAGGUAAGUGGAAUUUCAUGUGUAGCGGUGGAAUGCGUAGAUAUAUGAAGGAACACCAAUGGCGAAGGCAGCUUACUGGACAAGUAUUGACGCUGAGAUGCGAAAGUGUGGGUAGCAAACAGGAUUAGAUACCCUGGUAGGCUCUGC
Molecule: ribosomal RNA, 448 nt
Filed under: uncultured bacterium
Lineage: Bacteria
Description: bacterial SSU rRNA
Rfam family: Bacterial small subunit ribosomal RNA
Source: RNAcentral